CUAAUACAGCAUGGGACCACAUGGUUUUGACCGAGUGGUGAAAGCGGGCCUCUGUUCACAAGCUCGCGCUCUGGGAUGGGUCUGCGUCCCAUCAGCUAGUUGGUGAGGUAAUGGCUCACCAAGGCAUCGACGGGUAGCUGGUCUGAGAGGAUGACCAGCCACACUGGAACUGAGACACGGUCCAGACUCCUACGGGAGGCAGCAGUGGGGAAUCUUGCGCAAUGGGCGAAAGCCUGACGCAGCGACGCCGCGUGGGUGAUGAAGGCCUUCGGGUUGUAAAGCCCUGUGGGGAGGAACGAACCGUACGGGGGCGAAUACCCUCCGUACCUGACGGUACCUCCUUAGCAAGCAUCGGCUAACUCUGUG
Molecule: ribosomal RNA, 366 nt
Filed under: uncultured bacterium
Lineage: Bacteria
Description: bacterial SSU rRNA
Rfam family: Bacterial small subunit ribosomal RNA
Source: RNAcentral